AGAGUUUGAUCAUGGCUCAGAUUGAACGCUGGCGGAAUGCUUUACACAUGCAAGUCGAACGGCAGCACGGGGCAACCUGGUGGCGAGUGGCGAACGGGUGAGUAAUACAUCGGAACGUGCCCAAUCGUGGGGGAUAACGUAGCGAAAGUUACGCUAAUACCGCAUACGAUCUACGGAUGAAAGCGGGGGAUCGCAAGACCUCGCGCGAAUGGAGCGGCCGAUGUCAGAUUAGGUAGUUGGUGGGGUAAAGGCUCACCAAGCCAACGAUCUGUAGCUGGUCUGAGAGGACGACCAGCCACACUGGAACUGAGACACGGUCCAGACUCCUACGGGAGGCAGCAGUGGGGAAUUUUGGACAAUGGGCGCAAGCCUGAUCCAGCCAUUCCGCGUGCAGGAUGAAGGCCUUCGGGUUGUAAACUGCUCUUGUACGGAACGAAACGGUCUGCCCUAAUACGGUGGGCUAAUGACGGUACCGUAAGAAUAAGCACCGGCUAACUACGUG
RNAcentral lists this ribosomal RNA (502 nucleotides) under uncultured bacterium. RNAcentral describes it as "bacterial SSU rRNA". It matches the Rfam family "Bacterial small subunit ribosomal RNA", at positions 8 to 507 of the family's 1533-position model. The record is from RNAcentral.